CCCCAGGUCAGGCGGGGCUACCCGCUGAGUUUAAGCAUAUCAAUAAGCGGAGUAAAAGA
RNAcentral lists this ribosomal RNA (59 nucleotides) under Vailia picta. RNAcentral describes it as "Blepharodon pictum partial 26S ribosomal RNA". RNAcentral also lists the same sequence under 4 other names. The record is from RNAcentral. Lineage: Eukaryota; Viridiplantae; Streptophyta; Magnoliopsida; Gentianales; Apocynaceae.